GGGGUUGUAGCUCAGUGGUAAAGUGCUUGCCUAGCAUGCGUGAGGCCCUGGGUUCAAUCCUCAGCACCA
Molecule: transfer RNA, 69 nt
Filed under: Ictidomys tridecemlineatus (thirteen-lined ground squirrel)
Lineage: Eukaryota; Metazoa; Chordata; Mammalia; Rodentia; Sciuridae
Description: Spermophilus tridecemlineatus (thirteen-lined ground squirrel) tRNA
Rfam family: tRNA
About the family: Transfer RNA (tRNA) molecules are approximately 80 nucleotides in length. Their secondary structure includes four short double-helical elements and three loops (D, anti-codon, and T loops).
Source: Rfam by way of RNAcentral